AUUGAACGCUGGCGGCAUGCCUUACACAUGCAAGUCGAACGGCAGCAUGAUCUAGCUUGCUAGAUUGAUGGCGAGUGGCGAACGGGUGAGUAAUACAUCGGAACGUGCCCUGUAGUGGGGGAUAACUAGUCGAAAGAUUAGCUAAUACCGCAUACGACCUGAGGUUGAAAGUGGGGGACCGCAAGGCCUCAUGCUAUAGGAGCGGCCGAUGUCUGAUUAGCUAGUUGGUGAGGUAAAGGCUCACCAAGGCGACGAUCAGUAGCUGGUCUGAGAGGACGAUCAGCCACACUGGGACUGAGACACGGCCCAGACCCCUACGGGAGGCAGCAGUGGGGAAUUUUGGACAAUGGGCGAAAGCCUGAUCUAGCAAUGCCGCGUGUGUGAAGAAGGCCUUCGGGUUGUAAAGCACUUUUGUCCGGAAAGAAAUGGCUCUGGUUAAUACCUGGGGUCGAUGACGGUACCGGAAGAAUAAGGACCGGCUAACUACGUG
This 490-nucleotide ribosomal RNA is filed under the name uncultured bacterium. Its description in RNAcentral is "partial 16S ribosomal RNA". It matches the Rfam family "Bacterial small subunit ribosomal RNA", at positions 30 to 507 of the family's 1533-position model. The record is from RNAcentral.